CACGUAGGGGGCUAGCGUUGUCCGGAAUCAUUGGGCGUAAAGCGCGUGUAGGCGGUCCGGUAAGUCCGCUGUGAAAGUCGGGGGCUCAACCCUCGGAUGCCGGUGGAUACUGUCGGGCUUGAGUACGGAAGAGGCGAGUGGAAUUCCCAGUGUAGUGGUGAAAUACGUAGAGAUUGGGAAGAACACCAGUGGCGAAGGCGGCUAUCUGGACGGUUUCUGACGCUAAGACGCGAAAGCGUGGGGAGCAAACAGG
Molecule: ribosomal RNA, 253 nt
Filed under: uncultured bacterium
Lineage: Bacteria
Description: partial 16S ribosomal RNA
Rfam family: Bacterial small subunit ribosomal RNA
Source: RNAcentral